CUCUGGUAUGGUUUGAUUCUCUGCUUCUGGCUUAGAAAGAAGCGACAACUUCCCUUCUCAGCUUUGGAAGACUGGGAAGAGAGCACAGCUCCUCUGCCCACCAUCAGCGCUGCAUGUCCAGAGCCCGGGUCAAGGCCAGGUGCAGGGGACGCACUCAGGAAAUGCGUGAUCAAAGCAAACAGCCAUUUUGGAGAAGUCAGAGGAACUUAUUCUAGAUGGGUCAAGAAAGUCCAUCCAGCGUCAUUGCAGAGCCUCCGCAUCAAGACAAUGAACUUUAGUCCUCAAAGAGGCAUAUUGCAUCUGUCAGGAUACACUUGGUUAUGAGGAAACUGAGGCACAGAAGCAUGAAGUGACUUUCCCAAGGUCACGCACAUGGAAAGUGGUGAGGUCAGGUACAUGAUAGGAUUGACUUUCUUCACCCUGUGGAGCUGGGGGUGGCCACGUGCCCGGCUCUGGCAGGUGGAAAGGGACGGGAAGUGUGUGUGAUCCUCGGGGCGGAUGCCAUGGCAGUCUAGUACACGUUUUGCUUUCUUGUCUUAGUGACACAUUCUAGAUGGUUGAGGAGCUGCCACGGUGGGGGUGUGAGUGAGGGUGUGUGGCACCGAGAUGCCCACUGCCUCGCGGUGGACUUUGACUUAAGCCACUGAGGUCUGGGCUUUUCCCUCGUAUGUUUCUGCAGCGUACCAUCGACGUCAAAGGGAACUUUAACCUCAUUCGAUGUUUUCAUUAUUUUUAAUAAAG
Molecule: long non-coding RNA, 741 nt
Filed under: Equus caballus (horse)
Lineage: Eukaryota; Metazoa; Chordata; Mammalia; Perissodactyla; Equidae
Description: lncRNA (ENSECAG00000048520.1)
Source: RNAcentral